GUCCCCUUCGGGGUGACAUAAGAAAAAAUUGGAACGAUACAGAGAAGAUUAGCAUGGCCCCUGCACAAGGAUGACACGCUUUUCCGGAGUGGUAGACCUACGGGUCUCAAUAUUUAU
Molecule: small nuclear RNA, 117 nt
Filed under: Moniliophthora roreri MCA 2997
Lineage: Eukaryota; Fungi; Basidiomycota; Agaricomycetes; Agaricales; Marasmiaceae
Source: RNAcentral